RNAcentral lists this ribosomal RNA (250 nucleotides) under uncultured soil bacterium. RNAcentral describes it as "partial 16S ribosomal RNA". It matches the Rfam family "Bacterial small subunit ribosomal RNA", at positions 26 to 278 of the family's 1533-position model. The record is from RNAcentral.
AGGACGAACGCUGGCGGCGUGCUUAACACAUGCAAGUCGAGCGAGGCUUCUCCUUCGGGAGAUGUCCUAGCGGCGAACGGGUGAGUAACACGUGGGCAACCUGCCUCUAGCUCUGGGAUAACUCCGGGAAACCGGGGCUAAUACCGGAUACGACCUCGAGCGGCAUCUAUCGAGGUGGAAAGUUUUUCGGCUAGAGAUGGGCCCGCGGCCUAUCAGCUUGUUGGUGAGGUAACGGCCCACCAAGGCGACG